Myzus persicae (green peach aphid) is the source of this 642-nucleotide long non-coding RNA. RefSeq lists it as uncharacterized. The record is from RefSeq and is a predicted model, not a curated record. The transcript has 2 exons. NCBI's taxonomy places the organism in Eukaryota, Metazoa, Arthropoda, Insecta, Hemiptera, Aphididae.
GCGCGGGCUAAUGAAUCGUAGAGUAUGAUUGAUGUUAAUUAUUGGUCGUCGGAUUCAUGACGUGAUGAACAGUGAAAGUGGCGUCGAGUGAAACUGUAGAAAAUAGAUAAAGCCAACAUAGCGGAGAGAGAAACGAUGGUUCUCACCUACAGAAGCAUUAGGUAUAGCUCAUUUAAACAUGACUGAAAACAGAUGCAAAUAUGCAAUGAUGUUGCGGUUUACAGUGGUGUCUAUAUCGCUUGUGUCGGCUUACAGAGUUUUGUGCAAUGCCGCAUCCGUAAGUUGAAUAUGAGAACUCUAUUGAGAACUUCUUUACAUAGUGACUAUGUAACACUAGAGUACUCUGUAGACUCAAUGAAUUUAUAAAGUUUAUAAUUAUCCUUUACACAUCAUAGUGAUAUUGUGCUGUUUGUACACAAUGCCAAAAUGGACUUAAUCAAACGGUGUCAAACCAAUAAAUAAAUUUAAUAAUGAGUUUAUUGAACAUUUUAACAAUCAUUUAAAUUUUGAUUUAAUGUGCCUUGUUGGGUGAAGGUAGGAACUGAAUUAUUUAUUACUUAUCAUUUUAUCAAUUUCAAUGCCCAUUUGGAUUUUCAAGAUUGUAGUUAUGUGGUAUUAGUAAUAAAAUUACAGUAAUUAUUU